AGUGAACGCUGGCGGUAGGCCUAACACAUGCAAGUCGAACGGCAGCACAGUAAGAGCUUGCUCUUACGGGUGGCGAGUGGCGGACGGGUGAGGAAUACAUCGGAAUCUACUUUUUCGUGGGGGAUAACGUAGGGAAACUUACGCUAAUACCGCAUACGACCUACGGGUGAAAGCAGGGGAUCUUCGGACCUUGCGCGAUUGAAUGAGCCGAUGUCGGAUUAGCUAGUUGGCGGGGUAAAGGCCCACCAAGGCGACGAUCCGUAGCUGGUCUGAGAGGAUGAUCAGCCACACUGGAACUGAGACACGGUCCAGACUCCUACGGGAGGCAGCAGUGGGGAAUAUUGGACAAUGGGCGCAGGCCUGAUCCAGCCAUACCGCGUGGGUGAAGAAGGCCUUCGGGUUGUAAAGCCCUUUUGUUGGGAAAGAAAAGCAGCAGGUUAAUACCCCGCUGUUCUGGCGGUACCCAAAGAAUAAGCACCGGCUAACUUCGUG
This 492-nucleotide ribosomal RNA is filed under the name uncultured bacterium. RNAcentral describes it as "partial 16S ribosomal RNA". It matches the Rfam family "Bacterial small subunit ribosomal RNA", at positions 29 to 507 of the family's 1533-position model. The record is from RNAcentral.